This 497-nucleotide ribosomal RNA is filed under the name uncultured bacterium. RNAcentral describes it as "partial 16S ribosomal RNA". It matches the Rfam family "Bacterial small subunit ribosomal RNA", at positions 28 to 507 of the family's 1533-position model. The record is from RNAcentral.
GAUGAACGCUGGCGGCGUGCCUAAUACAUGCAAGUCGAGCGAACGGACGAGAAGCUUGCUUCUCUGAUGUUAGCGGCGGACGGGUGAGUAACACGUGGAUAACCUACCUAUAAGACUGGGAUAACUUUGGGAAACCGGAGCUAAUACCGGAUAAUAUUUUGAACCGCAUGGUUCAAAAGUGAAAGACGGUCUUGCUGUCACUUAUAGAUGGAUCAGCGCUGCAUUAGCUAGUUGGUAAGGUAACGGCUUACCAAGGCAACGAUGCAUAGCCGACCUGAGAGGGUGAUCGGCCACACUGGAACUGAGACACGGUCCAGACUCCUACGGGAGGCAGCAGUAGGGAAUCUUCCGCAAUGGGCGAAAGCCUGACGGAGCAACGCCGCGUGAGUGAUGAAGGUCUUCGGAUCGUAAAACUCUGUUAUUAGGGAAGAACAUAUGUGUAAGUAACUGUGCACAUCUUGACGGUACCUAAUCAGAAAGCCACGGCUAACUACGUG